Long non-coding RNA from Arabidopsis thaliana (thale cress), 243 nucleotides. RefSeq annotates it as other RNA. The transcript has a single exon. The record is from RefSeq. Lineage: Eukaryota; Viridiplantae; Streptophyta; Magnoliopsida; Brassicales; Brassicaceae.
GAAUGGAAGCAAGAGAAGCAGAGAGAGAGAGAGAGGAAAAAAAUAUAUAGAUUUGAGCAAAGCACACAGGCAUUAAGGAUAAUUCAGAGAGAGAUUUAGAACAUUCAAAGACAAAUACGAACCCGUGCGUGCGUGAUGGCGAAGGGCAAAAACAGGUACAGACUGAUUCGGGAUUUAGAUCGGAGUCUCCGAUGGAUUCAGAACUAAGUUUUUGGACUUCUGUUCCCGUCAAUUAGAGAUAAU